GCCGGAAUCGCUAGUAAUCGCGGAUCAGAAUGCCGCGGUGAAUACGUUCCCGGGUCUUGUACACACCGCCCGUCACACCAUGGGAGUUGGAAAUGCCCGAAGUCAGUGGCCCAACCGGAAGGGGGAGCUGCCGAAGGCAGGUUCGAUGACUGGGGUGAAGUCGUAACAAGGUAUC
Molecule: ribosomal RNA, 175 nt
Filed under: uncultured bacterium
Lineage: Bacteria
Description: partial 16S ribosomal RNA
Rfam family: Bacterial small subunit ribosomal RNA
Source: RNAcentral